AGUUUGAUCAUGGCUCAGAUUGAACGCUGGCGGGAUGCUUUACACAUGCAAGUCGAACGGCAGCACGGACUUCGGUCUGGUGGCGAGUGGCGAACGGGUGAGUAAUGUAUCGGAACGUGCCUAGUAGCGGGGGAUAACUACGCGAAAGCGUAGCUAAUACCGCAUACACCCUUCCGGGGGAAAGCGGGGGACCUUCGGGCCUCGCACUAUUAGAGCGGCCGAUAUCGGAUUGGCCUGGUUGGUGGGGUAACGGCUCACCGGGCGACGAUCUCAUAAUGGUUUGAAGGACCGUCGGCAGCCACUGGGACUGGGGCCUUGCGGCCUGAACUCUACGGGGAGGCAGCAGUGGGGAAUUUUGGACAAUGGAAACACGUUGACCAUCCCGCGUGGCGAUGAAGGACUUCCAGGUUGUAAAGCACUUUUGGCAGAAAAAGCGGCACGGAUAAUACCCCGUGCAACUGGCGUACUACGAUGGCUUCCAGCUAACUGCGUGCAGCAGCCGCGGUGGUAAUACGUAGGGUGCAAGCGUUAAUCUCAGAUUACUGGGCGUAAAGCGUGCGCAGGCGGUUCGGAAAGAAGAUGUGAAAUCCCAGAGCUUAACUUUGGAGCUGCAUUUUUAACUACCGAGCUAGAGUGUGUCAGAGAGGGAGGUGGAAUUCCGCGUGUAGCAGUGAAAUGCGUAGAUAUGCGGAGGAACACACCGAUGCGGCGGCAACCUCCUGGGAUAACACUGACGCUCAUGCACGAAAAGCAUUGGGAGCAAACAGGAUUAGAUACCCUGGUAGUCCACGCCUAAACGAUGUCAACUAGCUGUUGGGGCCUUCGGGCCUUGGUAGCGCAGCUAACGCGUGAAGUUGACCGCCUGGGGAGUACGGUCACAAGAUUAAAACUCAAAGGAAUUGACGGGGACCGCACAAGCGGUGGAUGAUGUGGAUUAAUUCGAUGCAACGCGAAAAGCCUUACCUACCCUUGACAUGUCUGGAAUCCCGAAGAUUUGGAAGUGCUCGCAAGAGAACCAGACUUCGGUGCUGCAUGGCUGUGUCGUCAGCUCGUGUCGUGAGAUGUUGGGUUAAGUCCCGCAACGAGCGCAACCCUUGUCAUUAGUUGCUACGAAAGGCACUCUAAUGAGACUGCCGGUGACAAACCGGAGGAAGGUGAGGAUGACAUCAGUCCUCAUGGCCCUUAUGGGUAGGGCUUCACACGUCAUACAAUGGUCGGGACAGAGAUUCGCCAACCGCGAGGGAGCCAAUCAAAGCCAGUCGCGGUCCGGAUCGCAGUCUGCAACUCGACUGCGUGAAGUCGGAAUCGCUUCAGUAAUCGCGGAUCAGCGUAAUAACGGUGAAUACGUUCGGGUCUUGUACACACCGCCCGUCACAUAUGCGGAGUGGGUUUUACCAGAAGUAGUUAGCCUAACCGUAAAGGAGGGCGAUUACCACGGUAGGAUUCAUGACUGGGGUGAAGUCGUAACAAGGUAA
Molecule: ribosomal RNA, 1475 nt
Filed under: uncultured Bordetella sp.
Lineage: Bacteria; Pseudomonadati; Pseudomonadota; Betaproteobacteria; Burkholderiales; Alcaligenaceae
Description: partial 16S-23S ribosomal RNA intergenic spacer
Rfam family: Bacterial small subunit ribosomal RNA
Source: RNAcentral